RNAcentral lists this microRNA precursor (103 nucleotides) under Marmota monax (woodchuck). Lineage: Eukaryota; Metazoa; Chordata; Mammalia; Rodentia; Sciuridae. The record is from RNAcentral.
AGUGGAAUAGCUGGGUCAAAUGGUGGUUCUAUUCCAAGUUUUCUGAGGAAUUUCCAUAAGGCUUUCCAGAUUGGUUGCACCAAUCUGUAACCCCUCCAGCAAU